Molecule: non-coding RNA, 117 nt
Filed under: Nomascus leucogenys (northern white-cheeked gibbon)
Lineage: Eukaryota; Metazoa; Chordata; Mammalia; Primates; Hylobatidae
Source: Rfam by way of RNAcentral
GCCGGGCGUGGUGGCUCACGCCUGUAAUCCCAGCACUUUGGGAGGCCGGGGCAGGUGGAUUACCUGAGGUCAGGAGUUCAAGACCAGCCUGACCAACAUGGAGAAACCCUGUCUCUA